CCUAGGGUGGCAGCAGUGGGGAAUAUUGGACAAUGGGCGAAAGCCUGAUCCAGCCAUGCCGCGUGUGUGAAGAAGGCCUUCGGGUUGUAAAGCACUUUCAGUGGGGAAGAAAGCCUUGGGCUAAUACCCUCGAGGAAGGACAUCACCCACAGAAGAAGCACCGGCUAACUCCGUGCCAGCAGCCGCGGUAAUACGGAGGGUGCGAGCGUUAAUCGGAAUUACUGGGCGUAAAGCGCGCGUAGGCGGUCUGAUAAGCCGGUUGUGAAAGCCCCGGGCUCAACCUGGGAACGGCAUCCGGAACUGUCAGGCUAGAGUGCAGGAGAGGAAGGUAGAAUUCCCGGUGUAGCGGUGAAAUGCGUAGAGAUCGGGAGGAAUACCAGUGGCGAAGGCGGCCUUCUGGACUGACACUGACGCUGAGGUGCGAAAGCGUGGGUAGCAAACAGGAUUAGAUACCCCAGUAGUC
This 463-nucleotide ribosomal RNA is filed under the name Vreelandella stevensii. RNAcentral describes it as "partial 16S ribosomal RNA". It matches the Rfam family "Bacterial small subunit ribosomal RNA", at positions 338 to 795 of the family's 1533-position model. The record is from RNAcentral. Lineage: Bacteria; Pseudomonadati; Pseudomonadota; Gammaproteobacteria; Oceanospirillales; Halomonadaceae.